GCGGGUAUGGUGGAAUUGGCAGACACGCCAGAUUUAGGUUCUGGUGCCAACAGCAUGCAGGUUCAAAUCCUGUUACCCGCACCA
RNAcentral lists this transfer RNA (84 nucleotides) under Clostridiales bacterium. RNAcentral describes it as "tRNA-Leu". It matches the Rfam family "tRNA". Rfam says of the family: Transfer RNA (tRNA) molecules are approximately 80 nucleotides in length. Their secondary structure includes four short double-helical elements and three loops (D, anti-codon, and T loops). Further hydrogen bonds mediate the characteristic L-shaped molecular structure. tRNAs have two regions of fundamental functional importance: the anti-codon, which is responsible for specific mRNA codon recognition, and the 3' end, to which the tRNAs corresponding amino acid is attached (by aminoacyl-tRNA synthetases). tRNAs cope with the degeneracy of the genetic code in two manners: having more than one tRNA (with a specific anti-codon) for a particular amino acid; and 'wobble' base-pairing, i.e. permitting non-standard base-pairing at the 3rd anti-codon position. The record is from RNAcentral. RNAcentral also lists the same sequence under 3 other names. Lineage: Bacteria; Bacillati; Bacillota; Clostridia; Eubacteriales.